GUUGGUGUCGUUAAAAAAAAACUUACAUUACACUUUCACAUGUUCUCACAAUUCCAAAGACCUGAUCAUAUUCGUAUAAUAAUAUUAUUUCAAUAACACUUUAUAUAGGGCACUAUCCCAUGUUACAUUUACCGGAACUCGAAAAGAUACUAAUUUUUGGGUUCUAAAUCCAACCUAGUUGAGAUCUCCUUCAUCUAUAAUAUUGUUUAUUCAUCUUAUUGCACAUAAAAAUAAAACUUGCACUCACAAUUAAAUUUAACACAUUGUGCAAUUUGAGGAAGAAGACACAUAUUUUUUGGACAAUCGUUGUCAAGUGUGCAUUUCCAAUCUACAAAGACAAAUAAGAAUUAAUGAACAUUACCUACAUAAACGAAAUAUUGUGUAUAGCAUAAAGAAGAAAAUAUGAAAAUAAUAUAAAAACUUACUUACAGCCAUUGGUAACAACAAGUAAUAGAGAAAAAAAU
This 464-nucleotide long non-coding RNA is filed under the name Medicago truncatula (barrel medic). RNAcentral's name for it is "lncRNA gene2941". Lineage: Eukaryota; Viridiplantae; Streptophyta; Magnoliopsida; Fabales; Fabaceae. The record is from RNAcentral.